GAGUUUGAUCUUGGCUCAGAUUGAACGCUGGCGGCAUGCCUUACGCAUGCAAGUCGAACGGCAGCACGGGAGCUUGCUCCUGGUGGCGAGUGGCGAACGGGUGAGUAAUGCAUCGGAACGUAUCCUGGAGUGGGGGAUAACGUAGCGAAAGUUACGCUAAUACCGCAUAUUCUGUGAGCAGGAAAGCGGGGGACCUUCGGGCCUCGCGCUCUUGGAGCGGCCGAUGUCGGAUUAGCUAGUUGGUGAGGUAAAGGCUCACCAAGGCGACGAUCCGUAGCAGGUCUGAGAGGAUGAUCUGCCACACUGGAACUGAGACACGGUCCAGACUCCUACGGGAGGCAGCAGUGGGGAAUUUUGGACAAUGGGGGCAACCCUGAUCCAGCCAUGCCGCGUGAGUGAAGAAGGCCUCGG
RNAcentral lists this ribosomal RNA (411 nucleotides) under bacterium enrichment culture clone ALO1_GLFRUDD03GF618. RNAcentral's name for it is "bacterial SSU rRNA". It matches the Rfam family "Bacterial small subunit ribosomal RNA", at positions 9 to 420 of the family's 1533-position model. The record is from RNAcentral.